UACAGAGGGUGCGAGCGUUAAUCGGGACUACUGGGCGUAAAGCGUGCGUAGACGGUUAUUUAAGUCGGGUGUGAAAGCCCCGGGCUCAACCUGGGAAUUGCAUUCGAGACUGAAUAGCUAGGGUACGGUAGAGGGAAGCGGAAUUUCCGGUGUAGCGGUGAAAUGCGUAGAUAUCGGAAGGAACAUCAGUGGCGAAAGCGGCUUCCUGGACCAGUACCGACGUUCAGGCACGAAAGCGUGGGGAGCAAACAGG
Molecule: ribosomal RNA, 253 nt
Filed under: uncultured bacterium
Lineage: Bacteria
Description: partial 16S ribosomal RNA
Rfam family: Bacterial small subunit ribosomal RNA
Source: RNAcentral